RNAcentral lists this ribosomal RNA (245 nucleotides) under uncultured archaeon. RNAcentral describes it as "partial 16S ribosomal RNA". It matches the Rfam family "Archaeal small subunit ribosomal RNA", at positions 474 to 718 of the family's 1478-position model. The record is from RNAcentral.
CCCAGGAGCCACAAGUGGUCACCACCUUUAUUGGGCCUAAAGCGUCCGUAGCCGGUCUUGUAAAUUUCCUGUGAAAUUGUUGCGCUUAACGUAACAUCGUGCAGGGAAAACUGCUUGGCUUGGAACCGGGAGGGGUAAGGGGUAUUUCGGGGGGAGCGGUAAAAUGCUAUAAUCCUCGAAGGACCACCUGUGGCGAAGGCGCCUUACCAGCACGGAUUCGACGGUGAGGGACGAAAGCUAGGGGA